RNAcentral lists this ribosomal RNA (372 nucleotides) under uncultured organism. RNAcentral describes it as "bacterial SSU rRNA". It matches the Rfam family "Bacterial small subunit ribosomal RNA", at positions 526 to 896 of the family's 1533-position model. The record is from RNAcentral.
CAGAGGUGGCAAGCGUUGUUCGGAAUUACUGGGCGUAAAGGGCGCGUAGGUGGCCUUCUUAGUCAGACGUGAAAUCCCCGGGCUUAACUCGGGAACUGCGUCUGAUACUGGAAGGCUCGAGUUCGGGAGAGGAAUGUGGAAUUCCAGGUGUAGCGGUGAAAUGCGUAGAUACCUGGAGGAACACCGGUGGCGAAGGCGGCAUUCUGGACCGAAACUGACACUGAUGCGCAAAAGCCAGGGGAGCAAACGGGAUUAGAUACCCCGGUAGUCCUGGCCCUAAACGAUGAGUGCUUGGUGUGGCGGGUAUCGAUCCCUGCCGUGCCGAAGCUAACGCAUUAAGCACUCCGCCUGGGGAGUACGGUCGCAAGGCUG